GAACUGAAGAGUUUGAUCAUGGCUCAGAUUGAACGCUGGCGGCAGGCCUAACACAUGCAAGUCGAGCGGUAGAGAGAAGCUUGCUUCUCUUGAGAGCGGCGGACGGGUGAGUAAUGCCUAGGAAUCUGCCUGGUAGUGGGGGAUAACGUUCGGAAACGGACGCUAAUACCGCAUACGUCCUACGGGAGAAAGCAGGGGACCUUCGGGCCUUGCGCUAUCAGAUGAGCCUAGGUCGGAUUAGCUAGUUGGUGAGGUAAUGGCUCACCAAGGCGACGAUCCGUAACUGGUCUGAGAGGAUGAUCAGUCACACUGGAACUGAGACACGGUCCAGACUCCUACGGGAGGCAGCAGUGGGGAAUAUUGGACAAUGGGCGAAAGCCUGAUCCAGCCAUGCCGCGUGUGUGAAGAAGGUCUUCGGAUUGUAAAGCACUUUAAGUUGGGAGGAAGGGCAGUUACCUAAUACGUGAUUGUUUUGACGUUACCGACAGAAUAAGCACCGGCUAACUCUGUGCCAGCAGCCGCGGUAAUACAGAGGGUGCAAGCGUUAAUCGGAAUUACUGGGCGUAAAGCGCGCGUAGGUGGUUAGUUAAGUUGGAUGUGAAAUCCCCGGGCUCAACCUGGGAACUGCAUUCAAAACUGACUGACUAGAGUAUGGUAGAGGGUGGUGGAAUUUCCUGUGUAGCGGUGAAAUGCGUAGAUAUAGGAAGGAACACCAGUGGCGAAGGCGACCACCUGGACUGAUACUGACACUGAGGUGCGAAAGCGUGGGGAGCAAACAGGAUUAGAUACCCUGGUAGUCCACGCCGUAAACGAUGUCAACUAGCCGUUGGGAGCCUUGAGCUCUUAGUGGCGCAG
Molecule: ribosomal RNA, 855 nt
Filed under: Thalassospira mesophila
Lineage: Bacteria; Pseudomonadati; Pseudomonadota; Alphaproteobacteria; Rhodospirillales; Thalassospiraceae
Description: Bacterial small subunit ribosomal RNA
Rfam family: Bacterial small subunit ribosomal RNA
Source: Rfam by way of RNAcentral